Molecule: ribosomal RNA, 491 nt
Filed under: uncultured bacterium
Lineage: Bacteria
Description: partial 16S ribosomal RNA
Rfam family: Bacterial small subunit ribosomal RNA
Source: RNAcentral
AGUGAACGCUGGCGGUAGGCCUAACACAUGCAAGUCGAACGGCAGCACAGUAAGAGCUUGCUCUUACGGGUGGCGAGUGGCGGACGGGUGAGGAAUACAUCGGAAUCUACUUUUUCGUGGGGGAUAACGUAGGGAAACUUACGCUAAUACCGCAUACGACCUACGGGUGAAAGCAGGGGAUCUUCGGACCUUGCGCGAUUGAAUGAGCCGAUGUCGGAUUAGCUAGUUGGCGGGGUAAAGGCCCACCAAGGCGACGAUCCGUAGCUGGUCUGAGAGGAUGACAAGCAAAAUGGGACUGAGACACGGUCCAGACUCCUACGGGAGGAAGCAGUGGGGAAUAUUGGACAAUGGGCGCAAGCCUGAUCCAGCCAUACCGCGUGGGUGAAGAAGGCCUUCGGGUUGUAAAGCCCUUUUGUUGGGAAAGAAAAGCAGCAGGUUAAUACCCCGCCGUUCUGACGGUACCCAAAGAAUAAGCACCGGCUAACUUCGUG